AUUGAACGCUGGCGGCAUGCCUUACACAUGCAAGUCGAACGGCAGCACGGGAGCAAUCCUGGUGGCGAGUGGCGAACGGGUGAGUAAUAUAUCGGAACGUGCCCAGUCGUGGGGGAUAACGUAGCGAAAGCUACGCUAAUACCGCAUACGAUCUAUGGAUGAAAGCGGGGGAUCGCACGACCUCGCGCGAUUGGAGCGGCCGAUAUCAGAUUAGGGAGUUGGUGGGGUAAAGGCCCACCAAGCCAACGAUCUGUAGCUGGUCUGAGAGGACGUGAAGCCACACUGGAACUGAGACACGGUCCAUACGCCUAGGGGAGGCGGCAGUGGGGAAUUUUGGACAAUGGGCGAAAGCCGGAUCCAGCCAGUCCGCGUGCAGGAUGAAGGCCCUCGGGUUGUAAACUGCUUUUGUACAGAACGAAAAGGUUUCUACUAAUACUAGGAGCUCAUGACGGUACUGUAAGAAUAAGCACCGGCUAACUACGUGCCAGCCGCCGCGGUAA
This 500-nucleotide ribosomal RNA is filed under the name uncultured bacterium. RNAcentral describes it as "partial 16S ribosomal RNA". It matches the Rfam family "Bacterial small subunit ribosomal RNA", at positions 30 to 523 of the family's 1533-position model. The record is from RNAcentral.